UGCUAGCAGCCGCGGUAAUACCGAAGGUGCAAGCGUUAAUCGGAAUCACUGGGCGUAAAGCGCUCGUAGGUGGCUUUGUAAGUCAGAUGUGAAAGCCCACGGCUCAACCGUGGAAGGUGAUUUGAAACUGGUAAACUUGAGUACGGCAGAGGUUAGUGGAAUUCAAUGUGUAGCGGUGGAAUGCGUAGAUAUAUUGAGGAACACCAGUGGCGAAGGCGGCUAACUGGACCGGAACUGACGCUGAGGCACGAAAGCGUGGGGAGCAAACAGGAUUAGAUA
RNAcentral lists this ribosomal RNA (279 nucleotides) under uncultured bacterium. RNAcentral describes it as "partial 16S ribosomal RNA". It matches the Rfam family "Bacterial small subunit ribosomal RNA", at positions 506 to 784 of the family's 1533-position model. The record is from RNAcentral.